UAACACUUUUAAAAUCGGUCAUAAAAUUUAUAACCGAUCUUUUUUAAGAUCAGUUAAAUUUUAACCGAUCUUAAAAGUGUUC
RNAcentral lists this microRNA precursor (82 nucleotides) under Cajanus cajan (pigeon pea). Its description in RNAcentral is "miRNA gene-KK1_049319". The record is from RNAcentral. Lineage: Eukaryota; Viridiplantae; Streptophyta; Magnoliopsida; Fabales; Fabaceae.